AGCAUGUUUCCUAUAGUGGGGUAGUCCAGGACCAGUAUGCACAGCCUCAGAAAACAAGGACAUCCAUUUAGAACAGAGAUGAGGAGAACAAGACAGAGGUGCAGGAAACAGAGGAGAUAUGAUUGAUAACAAUCAGAGCUGUAUUGGACAGGACAUCUCAAGCAGGUACUGGUUCACAAAAUUUCCAGGGUCCGGAUCCAGCAAAGCUGAGUACCAGCAUGUGAGAUCUUGUGAUUGUUUCUGGUUAAAACAAAAACCUCUACAAAAGGGAUCGGCUUAUACAAAGGUGGCUGGGGUCCAGUCAGAGUCCAUUAUCUACAGCUGCGCUCAAACUACAUUCUUCAGAACUCAUCAAGUGACCUGCGUUUCAGGAUCUCCAGGAGCGGCUUGGAAGACUUGCAACUUUGGGGUGUGGACCUGUGUGGACCUUAUGGACGACCCGAUCCCCUGUCGAUGUCACCAACUGAAGCGUCGCAGGAAAUCAAAACAUCAAAGCAGUGGCUGUGACUGUCAGAAGCCUCUGCACUUGAGUGAUCUCUCUCUCUCUUCCCCUCUUUCAUUCUCUCUUUCCAUGGUAUAGAGAGAGUCUGCUGGUUCUAGAGUCAGGAGAACUCAAAAUAUGCAACAGUGCAGAUCGUAACAUCAAAACAGUGAGCUGUUAGCCUCCCCUCUCGCUGUGGCAGGAUAUUUCUCUCUCCCUCAUUAGUGAGAGAGAGGGCCUGUUGAGAUGUCGACAUGAUGGGAUGGAAAGCAGUCUUUGAUGGUCUAUAAAUCAUGGUCUCCUGGGGCUUGCUGGGUGGUGGAGCGGACUAAUGCUUUUUGCUGGGACAAGUGGGAGUUUUGGGGUUCUAACGUUUUUCUGUUAUUCAUUUUUGGUUUUUCUCUCUCUCUGUUUUGUGGAUUUCUGCAAAAUGUAAGUAUUUCAGGUUCUGUACUGUCUACAUUUUCUGACAUUAAAUUGAACCAUCGAACAAUAUACAUAAACAAAAACUUAAACUACCAAUGUGCAAAAGACAAACUGCAUAAAUAACUAAUACUGAGAACAUGAGUUACAGAAUCCUUGAAAGUGAGUGCAGAUUGUGGAUUCAGUUCAGAGUUGAGGUGAGUGAGUGAAGUUGCCCACGCUAGUUUCAGGAAUCUGAUGGUGGAGGGUAAUAAUUGUUUCUGAGUUUGGUGGUGGGACCUAAGGCUCCUAUACCUUCUUCUCGAUGAUAGUAUUGAGAACAGGGCAUGGUCUAAAUGGUGGGUGUCCCUGAUGACUGAUUUCAGUUUUCUUUUAUUUUUUUCUUCCUUCAUAUUACUUUGAUCGGAUAGUGCAAAGUUUCUCAAAGCACUUCAUUAGAGUGUUAUUAGACAAAAGCUGCCAUCGAGCUAAUUAGGCAGAAAUCAGUAUAGUUUAAUCAAAGAGUAAUGUUUUAAGAAAUAUCUUAAGGCAAGUAAAGUUCAAGGAGACAACUUCAGGCCUUAAGAAAUGUAGGGAUGAUAUUUGGGAAAGUUAUGGGAUGAGAGAAUGUAGAUCAGGGGAACACGUUAGUAUAGAAGUUAAUAUAACACUUAUAGUACCAGCGACUGGGGCUCAGUUCCAGCACUGCCUAUAAGGAGCUUGUGUGUUCUCCCUCAUGACUAUGUAGGUUUCCUCCAUGUGUUCCAGUUUCCUCCCACAUUUCAAAGACAUACAGGCUAGUCGGUGAAUUGAUCACCUGGGUGUUAAUGACUGAAGGUACCUGUUACCAACCAUGCCAUAUCUAUUAAAAUAAAUCAUGCAUGAGGUACAGGUCAGAUUUGCUGAUUGAAAUUUCCAGGAAGCUGAAGCACUUUCUUCAAUGGCCUUCUGUCCUCUCCUGUCAGGUGCCCCCUUCUCGAGCCCUGUAUCUCUUUCACAAAUCAACUUGCCAGUUCUUCAUUUCACCUUGUGUUUUUCCCUCCUCUUCCCCCACUUUCUAACUCCGACUCCUCAUUCUUUUUUCACCAGUCUUGCUAAAGGGCCUCGGCCCAAAAUGUCAACUUUACACUUAUCCACAGAUGCUGCCUGGUGUGCUGAGUUCCUCCAACAUUUUGCAUGACUCUUGAAAUUAACCUGCCUAUUUCAGAUACUGAAGUACCUGAGAGUCUAAAUCACCAAAGCCACAAGAACCUGACUGUACCACAGACUAUGCCAAAUACGAGCUUUAAAUUUAAAAACUGUGGACAAUAUUGUGCUUGGAAAAUCCUAUGUGUUUUUUCUUGUUCUCAACUUCAAACCGUGUAACAAAUUGUAAUUAUUGGCAGAACGUACCAGAGAAAUAGUUCAUGAAUAUGUAUAACAUGUUCAGUUCUAACUUCUCCUCGUUCUGUGUCUAAUGGUGCAGAACAUUCACUCUGUUUCUCCUCUACAGGAGCUGCCUUAUGUGGAGUAUAUCCAGAAUUUUCUGCUGUUAUUUCAAUUCUCCACAUUCUGGAGUUUUUUCUUUGCUUUUCAAACAAUAUUUCCACAAUGAUCUAAAAUUUGGACUUUCAUAGUAAAGUCAAAGUAAAUAUAUUAUCUAAAUAUGUACACGUCACCAUAUACUACCUUAUGAUUCAAUU
This is a long non-coding RNA of Hypanus sabinus (Atlantic stingray), 2565 nucleotides long. RefSeq lists it as uncharacterized. NCBI's taxonomy places the organism in Eukaryota, Metazoa, Chordata, Chondrichthyes, Myliobatiformes, Dasyatidae. The transcript has 4 exons. The record is from RefSeq and is a predicted model, not a curated record.